Podarcis lilfordi (Lilford's wall lizard) is the source of this 71-nucleotide non-coding RNA. NCBI's taxonomy places the organism in Eukaryota, Metazoa, Chordata, Lepidosauria, Squamata, Lacertidae. The record is from the annotation of a GenBank genome assembly.
GGGCCAUAGCUCAGUGGGAGAGCAACUGCUUGGCCUGCUGAAAGUUCUAGGUUCAAUCCCUGACAUCUCCU